UCAUCUUCUUCUCCUUCUUUCUCCCUUCUCUGGUGUAUGCAUGGUAAUAAAAGAAAAAUAGCUAUUGUUUCCUCUUCUAUCCCUCUAUUCCACCCCAUAGUCUCUCUUUUUAUCCCCUUAUUCUCUUCCAUCAUCCCUAACUCUGUCCCCUUCUCUCUCUCUCCUUCUAUCUCUCCUCUUUUAGGGUGUGGGCAUGGAUAUAUGUGUAUAUUGGUAGACAAAGAGAAACCAUGCCUCUUUCCCAUAGCAUUAUCUGUCUUCUUUUUCAUUUUCUUCUAAUUUUUUUCCUUGAUCGAUUUGUAUGCAUAUAUAUUAUAGAUAAGGGGCCUCCACCUGCAACAUUUUAUUGCUUCUUAUAGUGUAGAACAAGGUAAGAUUGCAGUUGGG
RNAcentral lists this long non-coding RNA (387 nucleotides) under Elaeis guineensis (African oil palm). RNAcentral's name for it is "long non-coding RNA (EGUI_LNC039850)". Lineage: Eukaryota; Viridiplantae; Streptophyta; Magnoliopsida; Arecales; Arecaceae. The record is from RNAcentral.